RNAcentral lists this unclassified non-coding RNA (1363 nucleotides) under Schistocerca americana (American grasshopper). RNAcentral's name for it is "putative transferase CAF17 homolog, mitochondrial, transcript variant X2". The record is from RNAcentral. Lineage: Eukaryota; Metazoa; Arthropoda; Insecta; Orthoptera; Acrididae.
UUUUUUGUAUGUUGGUGCUACUGUCGGAACCUGACAAUAAUAUUAUUGUUUACAUAGUAGUGAGUGUUACGUGUUUAGAGCGUUUACAGAUAAGAAUCAGAUUCAUCUUGGAGACUGCUCUGAACUGUACAUAAUCAAGAAUACAGAAUGUUUACGCUACUGAGCAGGAGAUCACUGAAAUGUUUUCAACUUACCGCAUUGAACAAUAGAACAUUUACUGAAUCAUUUUCCAAAUCAAGAGGAAAUGUUUAUGCUGUAGAAAAUCUUACGCAACGUGGGCUUCUGAAGGUGCAAGGAGUUGAUGUUCACAACUUUUUGCAAGGACUAAUAACAAAUGAUAUCCGUCAUUUAGAAAGUAUGAAUUCUAUUUACACGUUGUUUCUGAACGUAAAAGGACGUGUUAUGUGUGAUACAAUAAUUUAUAAAACUAGAGAAGAAAAUGUUCUUUUGAUUGAAUGUGAUUCGUCUUACAUUCAUUUACUUCAAAAACAUCUUAAGUUAUACAGAGUACGCAGGAAAAUCGACAUAGAUGUUGCUGACGAUAAAUUGAAAGUAUGGGUUUUUUAUAGACCGAUUGAUGAAUUAGAUUUCUCACAAGGGAAAGUUUCGUAUGCCAAGGAUAUCGUAUCACCUGAAACUCUUGGACUUUACAGUCAUCGUGAUGAUGUGAUCAUAUGUCGCGAUCCAAGAGUAGCGGCACUGGGAUAUCGUGUUGUUGCCCCCGUAGAUGAAAUUGUUCGUGAUACUUUUGCAAAAGAAUUAGGUGGUGGUUCAUUAUAUGAUGGAUUCUUGAAUUACAGAGUCCACAGAUACGUUUUAGGAAUAGGAGAAGGCAUAUGUGACCUACCACCUGGAGUGUCUUUCCCUUUGGAAGCAAAUAGUGAUUAUCUGCAUGGUGUAAGCUUUCACAAAGGUUGCUAUAUAGGACAAGAACUUACAGCACGAACGCACCAUACUGGUGUUGUUAGGAAACGCUUGAUGCCAGUGUUUUUUAGGUCCAAACCAGAAAUAGAAAUACCAUCUGAUGCACCUAUACAGCUACUAGACUCUUCCAAAAAAUCAGUCGGUAAAUUGAGGGCCGUGGAAGGUAAAGUUGGCCUGGGGCUGUUGAGAGUAACAGAAGCCAUAGCAGCAAAAAAUAUUACUGUGAUGGGCAUUAUAGGAGAGACUUGCAAACCACAGUGGUGGCCACAGGAAGCUCCGAAGGAUCGCCUUGCUGUGAGCCGGGAAGCAUGAAUGCUGUUGCAGGUGGAUAAACAAGUAGAUUUCUCCUGUUGUCAUCAAGAAAUAAUAGGAAACUAAUGUAAUAGUGUUUGUUUCCAUGGAUUCACUAUGAUGGCAGAAACAGAUGGACAGAAUAGAC